CAAAAACAUCACCUCAUGAAUACCAUAAGAGGCCCAGCCUGCCCAGUGAUAAUUUCAACGGCCGCGGUAUCCUAACCGUGCAAAGGUAGCGUAAUCACCUGUUUCUUAAUUAGAGACCUGUAUGAAUGGCACCACGAGAGUCACACUGUCUCCUUUUUCCAGUCAGUGAAACUAAUCUUCCUGUGAAAAAGCAGGAAUUCUUAAACAAGACGAGAAGACCCUUUGGAGCUUAAGACAAAUAAAAUUCUAUGCUAUUCUAUGCUAUUCUACACACAACCAACAGUAUCAAAUUUUAAUAGUCUUCAGUUGGGGCAACUACGGAGUAAAAACAACCCUCCAAGAUGCGAUGGAAUUUUCCUAAACAAAAAGCCACAGCUUUAUGUAUCAAUAAAAUGACAUUAUUAGACCCAAGAUUUUGAUUAACGAACCAAGUUACCCUAGGGAUAACAGCGCAAUCCACUCUAAGAGUCCCUAUCGACGAGUGGGCUUACGACCUCGAUGUUGGAUCAAGGCAUCCCAGUGGUGCAACCGCUACUAAAGGUUCGUUUGUUCAACGAUUAAAGCCUCACGUGAUCUGAGUUCAGACCGGA
RNAcentral lists this ribosomal RNA (590 nucleotides) under Eleutherodactylus pipilans (whistling chirping frog). RNAcentral's name for it is "partial large subunit ribosomal RNA". It matches the Rfam family "Bacterial large subunit ribosomal RNA", at positions 1808 to 2620 of the family's 2925-position model. The record is from RNAcentral. Lineage: Eukaryota; Metazoa; Chordata; Amphibia; Anura; Eleutherodactylidae.